This 372-nucleotide ribosomal RNA is filed under the name uncultured bacterium. Its description in RNAcentral is "bacterial SSU rRNA". It matches the Rfam family "Bacterial small subunit ribosomal RNA", at positions 526 to 896 of the family's 1533-position model. The record is from RNAcentral.
GAGGGGGGGCAAGCGCUGUUCGGAAUUACUGGGCGUAAAGGGCUCGUAGGCGGCCAACUAAGUCAGACGUGAAAUCCCUCGGCUUAACCGGGGAACUGCAUCUGAUACUGGAUGGCUUGAGAUUGGGAGAGGGAUGCGGAAUUCCAGGUGUAGCGGUGAAAUGCGUAGAUAUCUGGAGGAACACCGGUGGCGAAGGCGGCAUCCUGGACCAACACUGACGCUGAGGAGCGAAAGCCAGGGGAGCAAACGGGAUUAGAUACCCCGGUAGUCCUGGCCCUAAACGAUGAAUGCUUGGUGUGGCGGGUAUCGAUCCCUGCCGUGCCGAAGCUAACGCAUUAAGCAUUCCGCCUGGGGAGUACGGGCGCAAGGCUG